RNAcentral lists this ribosomal RNA (489 nucleotides) under uncultured Glomeraceae. RNAcentral's name for it is "SSU rRNA". It matches the Rfam family "Eukaryotic small subunit ribosomal RNA", at positions 609 to 1098 of the family's 1831-position model. The record is from RNAcentral. Lineage: Eukaryota; Fungi; Glomeromycota; Glomeromycetes; Glomerales; Glomeraceae.
GUUGUUGCAGUUAAAAAGCUCGUAGUUGAAUUUCGGGAUCAAUGUUUCGGUCAUGCCGUUGGUAUGUACUGAUAUUAUUGAUUUCUCACCUUCUAAAGAACCGUAAUGCCAUUAAUUUGGUGUCACGGGGAAUUAGGACUGUUACCUUGAAAAAAUUAGAGUGUUUAAAGCAGGCUCACGCUUGAAUACAUUAGCAUGGAAUAAUGAAAUAGGACAACCGAUUCUAUUUUGUUGGUUUCUAGGAUCGAUGUAAUGAUUAAUAGGGAUAGUUGGGGGCAUUAGUAUUCAAUUGUCAGGGGUGAAAUUCUUGGAUUUAUUGAAGACUAACUACUGCGAAAGCAUUUGCCAAGGAUGUUUUCAUUAAUCAAGAACGAAAGUUAGGGGAUCGAAGACGAUCAGAUACCGUCGUAGUCUUAACCAUAAACUAUGCCGACUAGGGAUCGGAUGAUGUUAAUUUUUUAAUGACCCAUUCGGCGCCUUACGGGAAAC